Molecule: ribosomal RNA, 484 nt
Filed under: uncultured bacterium
Lineage: Bacteria
Description: partial 16S ribosomal RNA
Rfam family: Bacterial small subunit ribosomal RNA
Source: RNAcentral
AUUGAACGCUGGCGGCAGGCCUAACACAUGCAAGUCGAGCGGAUGAAGGGAGCUUGCUCCUGGAUUCAGCGGCGGACGGGUGAGUAAUGCCUAGGAAUCUGCCUGGUAGUGGGGGAUAACGUCCGGAAACGGGCGCUAAUACCGCAUACGUCCUGAGGGAGAAAGUGGGGGAUCUUCGGACCUCACGCUAUCAGAUGAGCCUAGGUCGGAUUAGCUAGUUGGUGGGGUAAAGGCCUACCAAGGCGACGAUCCGUAACUGGUCUGAGAGGAUGAUCAGUCACCCUGGAACUGAGACACGGCCGAGACUCCUACGGGAGGACGCAGUGGGGAAUAUUGGACAAUGGGCGAAAGCCUGAUCCAGCCCUGCCGCGUGUGUGAAGAAGGUCUUCGGAUUGUAAAGUACUUUAAGUUGGGAGGAAGGGCAGUAAGUUAAUACCUUGCUGUUUUGACGUUACCAACAGAAUAAGCACCGGCUAACUACGUG